AUGAGACACUCAGAAGAUGGGAAAACACUGAAAAUGGUCCAGCAGAAGGUGAUUACACCAAUGUCACAUCUGUGAUUCAGCUCAAAGUCAUUAACAAGACAAGGCAACGUGGUGACCCAGAGGAGAGCUCUGACUACAAUGAUGUCAAUCCAAAUUCAGCAUCAGCUUUAACAUGAAGCUAAAAAGAAGCUUGUAAGUUCAAACAGGAAGAUCUGUAA
This is a long non-coding RNA of Oreochromis aureus, 218 nucleotides long. RefSeq lists it as uncharacterized. NCBI's taxonomy places the organism in Eukaryota, Metazoa, Chordata, Actinopteri, Cichliformes, Cichlidae. The record is from RefSeq and is a predicted model, not a curated record. The transcript is spliced from 3 exons.